RNAcentral lists this ribosomal RNA (483 nucleotides) under uncultured bacterium. Its description in RNAcentral is "partial 16S ribosomal RNA". It matches the Rfam family "Bacterial small subunit ribosomal RNA", at positions 30 to 507 of the family's 1533-position model. The record is from RNAcentral.
AUUGAACGCUGGCGGCAGGCCUAACACAUGCAAGUCGAGCGGAUGAAGGGAGCUUGCUCCUGGAUUCAGCGGCGGACGGGUGAGUAAUGCCUAGGAAUCUGCCUGGUAGUGGGGGAUAACGUCCGGAAACGGGCGCUAAUACCGCAUACGUCCUGAGGGAGAAAGUGGGGGAUCUUCGGACCUCACGCUAUCAGAUGAGCCUAGGUCGGAUUAGCUAGUUGGUGGGGUAAGGCCUACCAAGGCGACGAUCCGUAACUGGUCUGAGAGGAUGAUCAGUCACACUGGAACUGAGACACGGUCCAGACUCCUACGGGAGGCGGCAGUGGGGAAUAUUGGACAAUGGGCGAAAGCCUGAUCCAGCCAUGCCGCGUGUGUGAAGAAGGUCUUCGGAUUGUAAAGCACUUUAAGUUGGGAGGAAGGGCAGUAAGUUAAUACCUUGCUGUUUUGACGUUACCAACAGAAUAAGCACCGGCUAACUUCGUG